UAGAGAAGUUUUAUUUCUAGAUUUAAAAACUGAGUUUUUAAAAUGUUUUGAAUCACAGCAAGUUGAACAUGACCAUUAAAAUAUUACUAAGAAAUAAUUUUUUUUUGUCUUUUUUCCAUUUUUUGGGCCACUCCUGUAGGGAUGGAGGUUCCCAGCCAGCGGCUACAGCUCCAAUUGGACUCCUAGCCUGGGAACCUCNAAAAAAAAAAAAAAAAAAAAAAAAAGAAAGAAAAAAAUAACCAUGCCAACUGAACACUAUUUCAAGAAAUACUCUUGGCAUUUUGCUGAAAUUAGUUAAUGAGUGAUGUAUCACAUUUUGUGAUUCCAAACUUCUUUAAGAAUACUAACUGAAUUUUUAAUCAUUUGUUUUAAUAUGAAAUUAUUAUAUGUUAGUACAGACGUUGAAGGCUAUCAGUAAACCCGUGUUAGAACUUAAAUGAUUAUAAGAAAUCAAGAGUUUUGUAAAUACAUGAUAUUGAAAACUUCUUGUUUUAGGGUGCCUAGAAUAAAACUUCGAUCACAUAGUUUUUUGUGGUAAGUAUUUUUAGAAAUAAACUUUGAGCAUAAGAUUGAAUGCUCUUAGAAGACAGGGUUUGUAACUUUUAUUGCUAUAAACUAUACACUAUGACUAGCAUCCCUUCUACAAAAUGGGAAUUUAAUAAAUAUGUUAAUGAAUAGCUAUCCAUGGAAAUAACGUAUUUUAUUUCUUUUAUUGCUUUGUUUUCUUUUAUAAGCCUGCUUUCUUUUAGAGAAUCAUAUAAGUUACCAGGGAGGCUUAAGAUAUGAAAGCACAGUGUACUAUUUUUAUUAUGAGAAGUUCAAAGACCAUCUGCAUUUAUUAAUGAUCACCACUAAGCACUUCUUGGUAUUUAUUCUACUAAAUAAUGAGUUAUAAAGAUGGCAGAGUCAAACUGAGAGGUGAAUACCAGGCUCUCUCACUAGCUGGGAGAUUUGCUCUUUCACAUCUAUUUUUCAGCUUUAUUUUAGUAUCAUUCAUAUGUGUGCCUCUGCAAAAUGACAAAUUACCAUAGGCCCUGAACCUUUGGGUCAAUGUCAGUUUGAAAAUAGUCACUGAAUAGCUAGGGUCUCUGCAAGGAUCCUUAACCUGUAAGGGUUCUGUCUUCAGAAGGUCCAUGAAGCUCCUGAAAUUUUUUGCUGCAUUUAUGGAUUUGUGCAUACACAUUUUCUUUUUUUUUUCUGAGAAGAUGUCUGUAACAUUUAUGAGUACUAUCAAGUGUGUAACCCAAGAAAGGUUCAAAAGCUCUUCAGAGGCCUUUUACAUUGCAUAAAGGCUUGCCAUCUCAGUUCUUUGAUGUACAGCAUAUACUCUAGAGGAAUGAAGAUACUAUGUGUGUUUAUUUAUCAGUCUUAUUUUAAUUUUACAGUCUAGAAAAUUUGUGCCCUUUUCAUAAUACGUGGGUAUUUCUUUUUUAUGUGAACUCAUAUUUUGAUGCAAAUGCAGUGUGAGUGAAUGGAAUUGAUAAAUGUGAAUGAUGCUUUACAUAUUUUUAUUAUUUAUGUGCAUGAAUUCAUUACUAAAGAGGGGAAGAAAAUUUUUUUCAUAUUUUACUUGUAGUUCUUUUCAUGGAAUAGAAUAAUUUGAAAUAAAUUUUGGAUUGAAUUUAAAAUUUUCAUAUUCAAAAUAUACCUUUUUAAAAUAAGAGACCUGCUUUUAUGGAAGUACUAAUCCCUAACUCAUUCUAUAGAAAUGAGAUCUUAUACAAAAAAUAGUCAUAUGGUAUAUAGAGUAGACUAAACUAUAAUUGAUUAUUAUGAGUGUAUGUGAAUGUUUGUUUUGUUUGAACUGGAUUUUACGAUAGAGUCGGACUUCGUUAAAGCUUUAGCUGCUGCUUCCUGGACUUCUUUGUUGUCUAAGGGAAACAAACUUCCUAGAAAGUGGAACUAUAGAGAAAGUUAAAAAUAGACAAGAGAAUUAGAAGACCUAAUUACAGUCUAACCUUAAUUAAUAUUUUUGAACUUGAUGAGUAAUUUAUUUCAAAAUUACAGCACCCACUGUCAUGAAAUGUACCACUUGUAUAAACAAGCAAGUGGGAAACUGUUUUGCUGACUUAAAAUUAAAUUUUUGCAAACAAGACAUUUUUAUUCUGUCACCCAAAAAAGGAAGCAUAUUGGUUAUUUUAAUUAAUAAAAAAUAACUGGAAUUAAUAGCCAUUUUUUGGGUAUUUACUUGUUAUAGACACUUUCACAUGUCACCUCAUUCGAUCUUUACAACUGUCUGAGAUAAAUAAUACUGCCAUUUUGAUGAGGAAACUGAAGCAAAGUGACUUGUUCUAGGUGUUCUUUGGCAGGUAAUAAUAGGUGCUCAGUAUUUGUUAAAUUGAGUUACAUUGGUAUCUGUGACUCCCUAAUCCUUUCCUUCUUCGCUGUCUCCAUUUCUGCCUUUAUCUGUAGUUAAAUUAUGGCCUCAGGACCCUGGGCCUUGAUACAUAGAACGUGGACAUGUACCCAGUGUGGUUUGUGCCACCCUGUCAGCAAACUUUCAUCAUGUUGUUUAAGAGAAAUAGGACCUGGAGUUCCCGUCGUGACGCAGUGGUUAACGAAUCUGACUAGGAACCAUGAGGUUGCGGGUUCGGUCCCUGCCCUUGCUCAGUGGGUUGACGAUCCGGUGUUGCCGUGAGCUGUGGUGUAGGUUGCAGACGCAGCUAGGAUCCCGCGUUGCUGUGGCUCUGGCGUAAGCCGGUAGCUACAGCUCCGAUUGGACCCCUAGCCUGGGAACCUCCGUAUGCCGCGGGAGCGGUCCAAGAAAUAGCAAAAAG
This 2777-nucleotide long non-coding RNA is filed under the name Sus scrofa (pig). RNAcentral's name for it is "lncRNA (ENSSSCG00060030397.1)". Lineage: Eukaryota; Metazoa; Chordata; Mammalia; Artiodactyla; Suidae. The record is from RNAcentral.